UGGGGAAUUUUCCGCAAUGGGCGAAAGCCUGACGGAGCAAUACCGCGUGAGGGAUGACGGCCUAUGGGUUGUAAACCUCUUUUUUCAGGGAGGAACAAAAUGACGUGUACCUGAAGAAUAAGCAUCGGCUAACUCCGUGCCAGCAGCCGCGGUAAGACGGAGGAUGCAAGUGUUAUCCGGAAUCACUGGGCGUAAAGCGUCUGUAGGUGGUUUAAUAAGUCAACUGUUAAAUCUUGAGGCUCAACCUCGAAAUCGCAGUCGAAACUAUUAGACUAGAGUAUAGUAGGGGUAAAGGGAAUUUCCAGUGGAGCGGUGAAAUGCGUAGAGAUUGGAAAGAACACCGAUGGCGAAGGCACUUUACUGGGCUAUUACUAACACUCAGAGACGAAAGCUAGGGUAGCAAAUGGGAUUAGAUACCCCAGUAGUCCUAGCUGUAAACAAUGGAUACUAGAUGUUGGACAGAUCGACCUGUGCACGUAUCAAAGCUAACGCGUUAAGUAUCCCGCCUGGGAAGUA
RNAcentral lists this ribosomal RNA (516 nucleotides) under uncultured vent bacterium ML-2e. Its description in RNAcentral is "bacterial SSU rRNA". It matches the Rfam family "Bacterial small subunit ribosomal RNA", at positions 355 to 882 of the family's 1533-position model. The record is from RNAcentral.